RNAcentral lists this ribosomal RNA (485 nucleotides) under uncultured bacterium. RNAcentral's name for it is "bacterial SSU rRNA". It matches the Rfam family "Bacterial small subunit ribosomal RNA", at positions 21 to 518 of the family's 1533-position model. The record is from RNAcentral.
GGUUCAGGAUGAACGCUGGCGGCGUGCUUAACACAUGCAAGUCGAACGGACUUACAUGAAGCCUAGCGAUUGAAAGUUAGUGGCGGACGGGUGAGUAACGCGUGGGUAACCUGCCGUAUGCCGGGGGACAACAGUUGGAAACGACUGCUAAUACCGCAUAAGCGCACAGAUAGGCAUCUAUCAGUGUGAAAAACUCCGGUGGCAUACGAUGGACCCGCGUCUGAUUAGGCAGUUGGCGGUGUAACGGACCACCAAACCGACGAUCAGUAGCCGGCCUGAGAGGGUGAACGGCCACAUUGGGACUGAGACACGGCCCAAACUCCUACGGGAGGCAGCAGUGGGGAAUAUUGCACAAUGGGGGAAACCCUGAUGCCAGCGACGCCGCGUGAGUGAAGAAGUAUUUCGGUAUGUAAAGCUCUAUCAGCAGGAAAGAAAAUGACGGUACCUGACUAAGAAGCCCCGGCUAACUACGUGCCAGCCGCCGC